Non-coding RNA from Cinara cedri, 1335 nucleotides. NCBI's taxonomy places the organism in Eukaryota, Metazoa, Arthropoda, Insecta, Hemiptera, Aphididae. The record is from the annotation of a GenBank genome assembly.
CAGUUCCACGGUUCCGCCUUCCAAACACGAUUUUGUAUUUAGUCAAUAUCUGAAAAACUACAGUAAUAUUAUGAAUCAUUAUCUAAUAACGAACGUCUAUAAAAUACAAUUGAGUAGGUAUUAAACUAUUAAAAUAAUAUUAUACUUAUAUAACCAUUAAUUUUAAUUAAGGUAAUGCAAAAUUUUUACUAUCGUUUUUUCUGAUAAUUAUGCAAUAUCACAGCAGUUUUUAUUGUAUGAUUAACCAUAUCUUCUUUAGUUAUUAUAAGAAUUUAAAAAUAUUUUGCUGCCAAAUACCAAAUGUAUUUCAGAUUUUGUAACUCUAUAUUUAACACUUUUAAAUCGAGAUGAUCUAUGAGAAGAAAUUUAAGUAUCAACAGCAACUUGAAAAUGUUUAAUUUUGAGUACUUCUCCAAAUCGUUUAUCAAGUUUUAGGUACCAACAUUGAUUUAUUAAUCUAUCUCUUCUUUUAAUUUUCUUUUAAUAAUUUAAUAAAUAAAAUGAUAUGCUAUUGAAAAGAAAAUUUUAUAUAAUUUAUAAAAAAUCAACUAAAAAUGUCAGUUUUGCAAAUUCAAUCACAUUAUAAUUUAUAGACAUCACUUAUGUUGAAAUCACUCUAUGAGUUUGGUUUCCUAAGGAAAUAUAUAUAAAAUGUAACCAUACGUAGUCAGUCAUAAAAUACAUUUUAAAGAAAUUAAAAUAGUAAAAAAUAAUAUUAUACAAGGAAUACCCAAAAUAUAUCAUGUGAUGAAUUUUAGAUUUCAAUCAAAACCGAAUAUCCAGAAUUAUCCAACAAAUAGUAUCAACUUUAAUUACUUUUGAUUCAAUUUAUUUAUUUGAAACAGCAUAUUUUUCUUUUUUGAUGAUAAAAAUUAAAUAUUGUUCCAGAUUGAAUGUUGAAAAAGAUUUAAGAAUGGCCGUCUCAAGUAUAAAACCUACUAACAAUUAAUUAAGUCUAAGAUUCAAGCACAGGUCGCUAUUUAAAUUAUUUUCGUUUUAUAAUUUCAAAAUCAUUAAAACGUUAAUAAUAUUGUUAUAUCAAUUUCAUUAAUUUUUUUUAAUUGUAUUUUGGAAUUUAUAUUUAUUAACUAAAUAUUGAAUUGCCUAAAAUCAAAAAUUUCAUGUAUAUAAACAUACAUAUUGUAUAUAUACAAUAUACUUAUAUAAUGUUGGUAAGGGGUCGCCUCAACAAAAUAAAUAAAUUGGGGGUCGUGGAUCUAUAAAGGUUGUACACUACUGACUGCUCUAUAUGAUAAAGUAUUUUGUAUUUUUGUGUUAAAUUUGUUUAUUCAUAUAUUAUUGUUCUAAUUAUUAUUUAUUACAAAUUAUAUUACA